AUUAAAUACAAAAUUAUUCAGACUUUAACUUUCAAGGUUAAAUGUGCCUUUAAAACAAAACACUUAUAUGAUAAAUCUGAGUUGCCCUGCCAUGCGCGCUUGGUAAUAUUGCGAAUUCUUAUGCUUUAAAUCGGUCCAAAAACAACCCAAAACGAAUAUUACUUUAAUUAACUUAAAAUCCGAAAGAUAACCUAAUAUACUUUUAAUAUCUUAGAAUUUUAAAUAUUUACGAUAAGGUUUGUUAAAUAAUAAAGAAACAGUGUUAAUGAGCUAAAUAUGAAGUAGAGCGAGUCUACGAGAAGCCCGCUAUUUUAUCUACCGAUACAAACAAUACACGGAGACUGUCUUAGAUGUUAUCCGAUCUAAUACAACGAUGUCGGAGAUAGGCACGGGUUGUGGACAUGCGGGUGUCUCUUAUCUGAUAAGACAUACCCUGUAUUCUUGGUUUCCGUGAUUCGAAGUUUAAUAUUCGCAAAGGAUCGAAUUCAAAUGAGUUAAAAUUACAAUUAAGGUUUUGUUUUUGAGAAAAUUCUUUUCGAAGUCGGUGUAACGGUGAUUUUAUAAGUUGAUAAGAUUUUUAUCGAAAAGUAGACUAUACAUAUAUUUUUAUCUAACGCGUGUUUGUGGCCUGUAACUUUCUGUUAAGUCUGUGUAAUUGUAAUUUGGCAUUAAUAUGUAUUUUCUUUCGUAAGGGAAAAUAUAAACGAUUUUGAUUGUAUAGUACUAUGGAGUAAAACACGAGUUUCGUUGGCACAUAAUGUAUAGAUUGAACCAUGAACCAGUAUGUUACCUUAACCUACUGUAACAACGCAAUGUUUAUAUGUUUAUAGUAGUUAAAACAUCGGCGAGCGUGCACAUCCUUUUAAGGGACGACAGGGGUUAGGGAGUUACAGUAUAUCAUUCGAUGAAGCUGGCUUGGAAAUUUUCCAGUACUAGUGAUUUUGACUGAGUGGCUUCUAACUUAAAAUACGUUUUUUUUCUCAAGAUUUUUCGUCAAUGUUGUAAAGUAAAAGCUUUUAACGAAUUAAAGCCAAAGACUUCGCCUUGACUACGUCAUUGUGUUUUAUACUUCAGAGUAAUUAAAAUAACUUUUAAGCACAGGUCGGAGAAACUUGCCACACAAAACGAACUUCUAUUAACGCAAUUUUGUGUACACUCUCAACACUUAACGAGCGCUCGAAGUUUUCUGUUCUGAUUAACAUUCUCAAAGCAUGAAGCGAUCGAAAGGGGCGAAGUUUUAAAACGAAGUUAGAGUCCAAAAACCCGCAAAAUACCGGAGUUCUCGGAACGUCUUGGGCGUUUGUUACGUCACACUUACCGGAUAUCCGUUCGCGAAAUUUGCUUCGUUGGUGAGACGGGCUUUGAACACAGGGCCAAAUAAACCGUGACCGAUGUUUGUUUCGAAACGAAUGGAAGAAGAUUGGACUUGGUGAACUUUAAUCUGUGGGUGGGAACACGAGGAACUGGUAAAGCCUUGGUUUCAACACAUGGCAGACGGCACGGUGUAAUGAAAGUGAAUGGGGGUCGUGAUGGAAAUUAAAACAUCAGAGAAAAGGGACGAAAAUGGAGACCAAAGCUUAUGAUGAGAGAAAGCGGGUCGUUAUAAAACAAAAUAUGGCUAUUCUAUGUGGGUGAGGUCCUACGACAAAACACACUCGUGUCAAAGUUGUCGCUUUUUUCAAACUUGAGCCGCAAGUUUACU
This is a non-coding RNA of Ciona intestinalis (vase tunicate), 1702 nucleotides long. Lineage: Eukaryota; Metazoa; Chordata; Ascidiacea; Phlebobranchia; Cionidae. The record is from RefSeq and is a predicted model, not a curated record.